GGACAUUUGAACUCAUCCGGAAGUCGAGAGCCGUUGAAGAUAUCUCUUUGAGCAUCAUUAUAAUUACAUUUCAGACGAGAUUCCACUUCAAAUUCAAGAGAGUCUUCAUGCUGCAGAGAUCCAUUCUCUGUGUGCUCUGCCACAAUAGAUUUGCCAUUUUUGUUGAGAAGACUCAGAAAGAACAGUAAGAUUUUCCUUUUUGGUGGAUCACCCUCCCCAAUUUUCUCCAGCUGUUUUUUGAUGGAUCUUUUCUCUAUCAAAAGAUCUUUUGGAGAUGUGAUACGCAGUUUCUCCAUAGCAAUUUGAAUAGCCUCAAAGACGUGUCCUUCCCCUGAAUGUGUUGUAGACGUAUACUGAUGAAGUAGCUUGCUCAAUACUUUCCUUGCCUCCUCUUCAGAUGGGUCCAAGCUGAAUAUUCCAGCUCCCAGGUCAGCAACCAGUUGCGAUAUCUGUGUAGCCAACAUCACAGGAACCAUAUUCUGCACACAGCUCAAGCUUUGCUCAAGCAAUUUUUUUGAUUUGUUGCAUCUUGAAAGUAUAACAUUUCCAGUUAGUGCCAGGUAUAGUUUACUGGAUUCACUACAAUGCUGAAGAAUGUCCUUGGCUUUGUCAAGUGCUCUGUUUAUCUGGCAAAGUACCUGUAUUCCAGGAUUGGAUCCAGGACGGGCUUCUUCAAUUGCUGGAAGUAACAUUAAAACUCCAGCUACAAAUUUAAUUAGUUCCAUGCACAUUAGACGAUGCACCUUAAUGUCACGAGGAGAUGGUAUCCCAGCAAUUGAAGCAGCAUCACUCCCCAUAAGGAACUUCUACUAGAGGAGAGUAACAAAGAACCCCUCUCUGAUUAAGAUGAAAAUUCAAAAUUCUGUAUAGUUCCAAUUGUUUCUUUACAGUUCCAGCAGCAAAAAACUGAAGUCCACUUUCAAAAACCUCAUCAAAUUCCCAGCAAAAGCGAAUACUUUUCCCAAUUCUACACAAGGAGAAAUAAGACCCGAUUCUUUCUCGUCAAGACUGGGAAAACAUACUCAUAUUCGCAAUUAUUAAGUCUUGAAAACCAAAACAUUAAUUAAAGCUGCAAUCUUUACACCUUUUUGACGAACCUCGGAAACAAUAAUCAUAUGAAUAUAUGAUAAUUAUGUUUGUAGAAGCAGGCGUGGAAGAUUU
This 1161-nucleotide unclassified non-coding RNA is filed under the name Hevea brasiliensis (rubber tree). Lineage: Eukaryota; Viridiplantae; Streptophyta; Magnoliopsida; Malpighiales; Euphorbiaceae. The record is from RNAcentral.